UGAAUGCCAUCACUGCAGACGAGUUAUUAUGCCUUUGUAUUAUUGGUCUUAUUAUUCCUUGAUGGUGGAGAACAAAAUACAAUGGGUCAUAGAGGAGCUCUUGGUUGAGUAGAGAUAAGAUGUAAGUCCUAGCUUGUUUAUAGGUCACAUGAUUGGGAUCUGCAGGAUCUACAGCAGUCAGGUAAGCCCAGCAGUUCAUGGUCUUGGUUGCACACCGGAACUAUUUGGAAAAGCUUAGAGAUUUUGAACUUGGGGCCUCAGCCAUGGACUGUGCCU
Molecule: long non-coding RNA, 276 nt
Filed under: Rattus norvegicus (Norway rat)
Lineage: Eukaryota; Metazoa; Chordata; Mammalia; Rodentia; Muridae
Description: long non-coding RNA NONRATT033261
Source: RNAcentral